Molecule: ribosomal RNA, 499 nt
Filed under: uncultured bacterium
Lineage: Bacteria
Description: bacterial SSU rRNA
Rfam family: Bacterial small subunit ribosomal RNA
Source: RNAcentral
CCUAAUACAUGCAAGUCGAACGGUCGUUUCUAUGGAAGCUUGCUUCCACUGAGAAGAUAGUGGCGAACGGGUGAGUAACACGUGGGUAACCUGCCCAUAAGAGGGGGAUAACAUCCGGAAACGGGUGCUAAUACCGCAUAGUUUUCUUGAUCGCAUGAUCGGGAAAGGAAAGACGGCCUUUGUGCUGUCGCUUAUGGAUGGACCCGCGGCGUAUUAGUUAGUUGGUGAGGUAACGGCUCACCAAGACGAUGAUACGUAGCCGACCUGAGAGGGUGAUCGGCCACAUUGGGACUGAGACACGGCCCAAACUCCUACGGGAGGCAGCAGUAGGGAAUCUUCCGCAAUGGACGAAAGUCUGACGGAGCAACGCCGCGUGAGUGAAGAAAGGUUUUCGGAUCGUAAAACUCUGUUGUCAGAGAAGAACAAGUUGGAGAGUAACUGCUCCAGCCUUGACGGUAUCUGACCAGAAAGCCACGGCUAACUACGUGCCAGCAGCGGC